This 253-nucleotide ribosomal RNA is filed under the name uncultured bacterium. RNAcentral's name for it is "partial 16S ribosomal RNA". It matches the Rfam family "Bacterial small subunit ribosomal RNA", at positions 524 to 776 of the family's 1533-position model. The record is from RNAcentral.
UACGUAGGGUGCGAGCGUUAAUCGGAAUUACUGGGCGUAAAGCGUGCGCAGGCGGUUUUGUAAGCCAGGUGUGAAAUCCCCGGGCUCAACCUGGGAAUGGCAUUUGGGACUGCAAGGCUGGAGUGCGGCAGAGGAGACUGGAAUUCCUGGUGUAGCAGUGAAAUGCGUAGAUAUCAGGAGGAAUACCGAUGGCGAAGGCAGGUCUCUGGGCUGACACUGACGCUCAUGCACGAAAGCGUGGGGAGCAAAACGG